Long non-coding RNA from Hipposideros armiger (great roundleaf bat), 250 nucleotides. RefSeq lists it as uncharacterized. The record is from RefSeq and is a predicted model, not a curated record. The transcript has 3 exons. NCBI's taxonomy places the organism in Eukaryota, Metazoa, Chordata, Mammalia, Chiroptera, Hipposideridae.
UUCCUCUUUCCUCAGUUCAUCUCCUAAACCCCAGGGGACUGAGUUCCAGGGCCGGGUCGACAUUGAAGACCAAAUGCUGCACAGUGUGCAUCCUGGGAGCCUGUGGCUCCUUUCACCACUGAUAGUUUUGCUGCUGCUGGCUGCUACAGGCAGAGGAGCUGCAGCUCUCCCGAAGGCGGUGCUGAGCCUCGAGCCCCCGUGGAUCAACCUGCUCCGGGGUGACAGCGUAACCCUGAGCUGCCAGGGGCCC